Xiphophorus couchianus (Monterrey platyfish) is the source of this 942-nucleotide long non-coding RNA. RefSeq lists it as uncharacterized. The transcript has 4 exons. The record is from RefSeq and is a predicted model, not a curated record. Lineage: Eukaryota; Metazoa; Chordata; Actinopteri; Cyprinodontiformes; Poeciliidae.
UGUAUUUAAGGUGGGACUCAGAUGCUUCCAGUUCACUUUGCAGCAAAGCAGCAACAUAUGGAUCUGUAACCAACAUGGGAUCAUUUUUUUGUAAAGUAAGAGGAAGUGAUCGGAAUAUGUAUCGACAAGAAACUAAAAGCCCUGCUGUGAGUGGAGUAGAUCUGCCUCCUGACGUGGAGUGUCAUGCUGUGGGUGGAGUAGAUCUGCCUCCUGACGUGGAGUGCCAGGCCAUCGGUGGAGUCGACCUGCCUCCAUUUGAUAUCCAACAUUUGGACACUGAGCACAGUGCUCUCGGUGGAAUAGAUGAAUAUCCCAAAUUCACUCAGAAAGUGGGAUAGAUCCACCUCCCAUAUUAGAUCUGCCAGGUCUGAAAUGACAGAAAAGAAGAACAACAAGAAAGUUAUCGUUCUGACUCACUGGGCUUCAGAGGAAAUAAACUCUGGUGAUGCCUUUCUAAAAAAAAUACAAAUGUUGUAGUCUGCAAUAAUAGAUCCUUUGAUCAGUUUUAUUUUACUAAUUGUUAAUUGUUAAUGUAUGUGAACUAUUGAAAUCUCAUAUUUUCUAAAUAGAUCUAUAUUUCCUUUUUGAAACAUGUUUUUAUGUUUAAUCUCAGCAUUACACAAUGUAUAGAUUUUUAAAAAAUAUUAAAAGAUUUUCACACAAGUAUGUAGUUGUCUGAAUUUUCAUCAUGAAUUUUAUAUUUAUAUUUUAUAUUAUAUUUAAUUUUAUACAUAAAUUUCCAAUAUAAAUAUAUUGGAAAAUAAAAACAUAAGUGAGGGAGAUUAUUCUGUAGAUGUUUUUAAAGCCAGUUGUUCAAUACACCUAUUGCUUUUUUUGUUAUUUUAUGUUUUUAAUUUGAAUUGUUUAAUUUUAGCUUUUGUACCCUUAUAUUUGUUCGGUUCUUUGUUUGAAAUUGCUUCAUAAAUAAAGUUAUUAAUAAAA